GAUGAACGCUAGCUACAGGCUUAACACAUGCAAGUCGAGGGGAAACGACAUUGAAGCUUGCUUCGAUGGUCGUCGACCGGCGCACGGGUGGGUAACGCGUAUCCAACCUGCCUCUGACCAAGGGAUAACCCGUCGAAAGUCGGCCUAAUACCUUAUGCAGUCGUCGGAAGUCAUCUGAUGACGACGAAAGAUUUCAUCGGUGAGAGAUGGGGAUGCGUCUGAUUAGCUUGUUGGCGGGGUAACGGCCCACCAAGGCAACGAUCAGUAGGGGUUCUGAGAGGAAGGUCCCCCACAUUGGAACUGAGACACGGUCCAAACUCCUACGGGAGGCAGCAGUGAGGAAUAUUGGUCAAUGGGCGAGAGCCUGAACCAGCCAAGUAGCGUGCAGGAUGACGGCCCUAUGGGUUGUAAACUGCUUUUAUGCGGGGAUAAAGUGAGGGACGUGUCCUUCAUUGCAGGUACCGCAUGAAUAAGGACCGGCUAAUUCCGUG
RNAcentral lists this ribosomal RNA (491 nucleotides) under uncultured bacterium. RNAcentral describes it as "partial 16S ribosomal RNA". It matches the Rfam family "Bacterial small subunit ribosomal RNA", at positions 28 to 507 of the family's 1533-position model. The record is from RNAcentral.